CCUUUUGUCUCUUAAUCAAAAAUUGCAGCCGGGAAGCUCCCUCUACUGGCCAACGGGGAUUUUUCCCAAAGAGGCUCUCUAAUCCAGGGGUCGGCAACCUUUCAGAAGUGGUGUGCCAAGUCUUCAUUUAUUCACUCUGAUUUAAGGUUUCGUGUGCCAGUAAUACAUUUUAACGUUUUUAGAAGGUCUCUUUCUAGAAGUCUAUAAUAUAUAACUAAACUAUUGUAUGUAAAGUAAAUAAGGUUUUUAAAAUGUUUAAGAAGCUUAAUUUAAAAUUAAAUUAAAAUGCAGAUCCCCUGAACCAGUGGCUAGGACCCGGGCAGUGUGAGUGCCACUGAAAAUCAGCUCUAGUGUCGCCUUUGGCACACGUGCCAUAGGUUGCCUACCCCUGCACUAAUCCCAAUCUAAAUUAUUUCCCCUGAUACCAUACACCAGAAUAUGGAUUACAUUUUAAUAGUGAUUCUCAUGGACUGACUCCCUCUUGUGCAGGUCACUGACCCUUCCAUUUGUGAUCACAUAACAUCACUGUGGUAAUUACAGUAAUUGCUUAAGUGGAAAAGUAAUAUUAGAACCAUAAUUUAUUUUGAGCUAUCUUUUAAUACAGUGUAGCUCCUGGAUCCGUGGAGGAAAAACCAGUGCCAUCUGCCCAGUAAGUGCUCCACAAAUCACAACUGGAGAACCCCUGCUGUACUUGGUCCUGAUAUCGCUCUAAUGUUACAAAGGAAGAAGUUAGAGGACUCCGAAUUCAGAGAUUUAAAUAUCGUCCUGGAUGUGGUGGUAGAAUUAUAUUCCAUGAGUAGUGGGAUAAAAUUGGACGGAUGGUAAUUAAUGUUCACUCAUUCACAAUUGCGGUGAUAUUCCUUUAAUCCACAGAAGCCCAUAAUGUGAAAUUGGUUAUUCUAAAACCCUCAGACGUGUGUUUGUAUAAACAUAUCCAAAUUGCCACCUCUCUAAAUAACUCUUCUUUUCAUAAAGCUGUAGCCAUUCCAGAUAUUGCAUGUUAAACCUGCAGAUACCAUUGAUGACUGUAAUAAGAUCUAACAUGUUGAUAGUUCUUUGUAUCUUCAAAGUGCUCCAUAAACACACACAUUAAAAUUCACACCAUCCCUCUGAGGUGGGUAAAUAUCCUCAUUCUACAAAUAGCGGAAACCAAUUGUAACUCAUUCAAAACCACAGGCUGUCAUCGUCACAACUAAUACUAGACUCAUCUCCAACUACUUCACCACACUAAGUGACUGGAUAACAAGGAAAAUGCUUCAGGUGACAAGGGAAGACGCAGCAUUUCUCUGCACAGACAGGAUUUUCAAAGUCAUUUGUGUCACUACAUGGUAAUAAGGGAGAAUGAUCCGUUUCUUGUAGCAAUUGGCUGGCAAUUGUGAUUGAUUUUUAAACAUCUUGUAAAUGUGCCCAAUGUUACCAUGGACCCA
RNAcentral lists this long non-coding RNA (1427 nucleotides) under Chrysemys picta bellii (western painted turtle). RNAcentral's name for it is "lncRNA (ENSCPBG00000010080.1)". The record is from RNAcentral. Lineage: Eukaryota; Metazoa; Chordata; Testudines; Emydidae.